GAUGGACACACAGGACCUUCACUGUCCUUUAGAGCUCUGGGCAAAAAAGGAACAGAGGAGCUUUCAACUCUGAGUGGCAAAGAAUGAAGACAAAAGUUGUGUGAAGGAAAUCAGGUUUGUUUUCUUAGAGACCUUCCAGCCUCUCCAAGACUAUUCUCAUUUCUCAUCACACAGACACAAUGGUGAUUCCCAAAAGAGAAUGUCAGUGGUGUUGGGCUGCCACAGAGAGCCAGGAAAUACGCCAAGGAGGAGUUGCUGGAAAGAGUCAAUGCUUGCAGCAAUAAAAUGAGAGAAAAAGAAAGUCUAAAUCUAUAAUAGAAAAUAUUCCUCUAAGCAGUCAAAUCUUUGAGAAAGAAUGGUUCUAAUGUGGUACACACUAUGUGACCAGUAUUUGCAUCUCUGGCUCUCCUGCCCACUUGAGCCAAGCGUGUCCCAGAUCCUUACCUCUACAAUUUAGUGCACUCUUGUGAAGAACGGACCUUUUCAAACUCUGACAUACCAGGUCCUCUCCAGAUUCCCAGGCUCAGCCUGCUGGUGAGUUUCUCCAUGGCCUUGUCAAAUACAAAUAUAUGUAAUUCAACAAUUUAGAGUACCUUG
Molecule: long non-coding RNA, 597 nt
Organism: Hirundo rustica (Barn swallow)
Lineage: Eukaryota; Metazoa; Chordata; Aves; Passeriformes; Hirundinidae
Exons: 3
Source: RefSeq, a predicted model, not a curated record